RNAcentral lists this ribosomal RNA (468 nucleotides) under uncultured bacterium. RNAcentral describes it as "partial 16S ribosomal RNA". It matches the Rfam family "Bacterial small subunit ribosomal RNA", at positions 28 to 507 of the family's 1533-position model. The record is from RNAcentral.
GACGAACGCUGGCGGCGUGCUUAACACAUGCAAGUCGAACGGAAAGGCCCUGCUUUUGUGGGGUGCUCGAGUGGCGAACGGGUGAGUAACACGUGAGUAACCUGCCCUUGACUUUGGGAUAACUUCAGGAAACUGGGGCUCAUACCGGAUAGGAGCUCCUGCUGCAUGGUGGGGGUUGGAAAGUUUCGGCGGUUGGGGAUGGACUGGCGGCUUAUCAGCUUGUUUGUGGGGUAGGGGCUUACCAAGGCUUUGACGGGUAGCCGGCCUGGGAGGGUGACCGGGCACAUUGGGACUGAGGUACGGCCUAGACUCCUACGGGAGGCAGCAGUGGGGAACAUUGCACAAUGGGCGGAAGCCUGAUGCAGCAACGCCGCGUGCGGGAUGACGGCCUUCGGGUUGUAAACCGCUUUCGCAUGUGACGAAGCGUGAGUGACGGUAAUGGGUAAAGAAGCAACGGCUAACUACGUG